Molecule: ribosomal RNA, 719 nt
Filed under: Chryseobacterium sp. CI55
Lineage: Bacteria; Pseudomonadati; Bacteroidota; Flavobacteriia; Flavobacteriales; Weeksellaceae
Description: bacterial SSU rRNA
Rfam family: Bacterial small subunit ribosomal RNA
Source: RNAcentral
UUAUGGCUCAGGAUGAACGCUAGCGGGAGGCCUAACACAUGCAAGCCGAGCGGUAGAGAUUCUUCGGAAUCUUGAGAGCGGCGUACGGGUGCGGAACACGUGUGCAACCUGCCUUUAUCAGGGAGAUAGCCUUUCGAAAGGAAGAUUAAUACCCCAUAAUAUAUUAAGUGGCAUCACUUGAUAUUGAAAACUACGGUGGAUAGAGAUGGGCACGCGCAAGAUUAGAUAGUUGGUGAGGUAACGGCUCACCAAGUCUACGAUCUUUAGGGGGCCUGAGAGGGUGAUCCCCCACACUGGUACUGAGACACGGACCAGACUCCUACGGGAGGCAGCAGUGAGGAAUAUUGGACAAUGGGUGAAAGCCUGAUCCAGCCAUCCCGCGUGAAGGACGACGGCCCUAUGGGUUGUAAACUUCUUUUGUAUAGGGAUAAACCUAGAUACGUGUAUCUAGCUGAAGGUACUAUACGAAUAAGCACCGGCUAACUCCGUGCCAGCAGCCGCGGUAAUACGGAGGGUGCAAGCGUUAUCCGGAUUUAUUGGGUUUAAAGGGUCCGUAGGCGGAUCUGUAAGUCAGUGGUGAAAUCUCACAGCUUAACUGUGAAACUGCCAUUGAUACUGCAGGUCUUGAGUGUUGUUGAAGUAGCUGGAAUAAGUAGUGUAGCGGUGAAAUGCAUAGAUAUUACUUAGAACACCAAUUGCGAAGGCAGGUUACUAAGCAA